GCUGGUGUAGCUCAAUUGGUAGAGCAGCGCAUUCGUAAUGCGCAGGUUACCGGUUCAAGUCCGGUCACCAGCU
This 73-nucleotide transfer RNA is filed under the name Chlorobiota bacterium. RNAcentral's name for it is "tRNA-Thr". It matches the Rfam family "tRNA". From Rfam's summary of the family: Transfer RNA (tRNA) molecules are approximately 80 nucleotides in length. Their secondary structure includes four short double-helical elements and three loops (D, anti-codon, and T loops). Lineage: Bacteria; Pseudomonadati; Chlorobiota. The record is from RNAcentral.